GUUUCAUUUUAAUUUAUAUUAGAAUUUUAUUUUUUAGUUAAAAAGCUAAAAUUUUAUUAAAAGACGAGAAGACCCUAUAAAUCUUUAUAUUUAUUUUUAUUUUAAUUUAUAAAGAUAUAUUUUAUUAUAAUUAGAAUAAAUAUUUUAUUGGGGUGAUAUUAAAAUUUAAAUAACUUUUAAUUUUUAAAUUACAUUAAUUUUUGAAUUAUUGAUCCAUUAAUAAUGAUUAAAAAAUUAAGUUACUUUAGGGAUAACAGCGUAAUUUUUUUGGAGAGUUCUUAUUGAUAAAAAAGUUUGCGACCUCGAUGUUGGAUUAAGAGAUAGUUUUAAUGCAGAAGUUAAAAUAUAAAGUCUGUUCGACUUUUAAAUUCUUACAUGAUCUGAGUUCAAACCGGUGUGAGCCAGGUUGGUUUCUAUCUUUAAUUAUUAUAUAAUAUUUUAGUACGAAAGGAAUUUAUAUUAAAAAUUAUUUUUAUAGUAUGAAU
RNAcentral lists this ribosomal RNA (485 nucleotides) under Diasemopsis minuta. Its description in RNAcentral is "partial 16S ribosomal RNA". The stretch from base 250 to 408 matches the Rfam family "Bacterial large subunit ribosomal RNA", at positions 2473 to 2632 of the family's 2925-position model. Lineage: Eukaryota; Metazoa; Arthropoda; Insecta; Diptera; Diopsidae. The record is from RNAcentral.